UACAGAGGUCCCGAGCGUUGUUCGGAUUUACUGGGCGUAAAGGGUGCGUAGGCGGUUGGGUAAGUCUGAUGUGAAAUCUCCAGGCUCAACUUGGAAAUGGCAUUGGAUACUAUCCAGCUAGAGGAUCGGAGGGGGGACUGGAAUUCCCGGUGUAGCAGUGAAAUGCGUAGAUAUCGGGAGGAACACCAGUGGCGAAGGCGAGUCCCUGGACAAUACCUGACGCUGAGGCACGAAAGCCGGGGGAGCAAACAGG
Molecule: ribosomal RNA, 253 nt
Filed under: uncultured bacterium
Lineage: Bacteria
Description: partial 16S ribosomal RNA
Rfam family: Bacterial small subunit ribosomal RNA
Source: RNAcentral